RNAcentral lists this long non-coding RNA (2510 nucleotides) under Salvia miltiorrhiza (redroot sage). RNAcentral's name for it is "long non-coding RNA (SMIL_LNC004637)". The record is from RNAcentral. Lineage: Eukaryota; Viridiplantae; Streptophyta; Magnoliopsida; Lamiales; Lamiaceae.
UAUAAAACAUACACAUAAAGGAGAACUAAUUAAGGUGGGUUAUCCAAUAACACGUGUCACAACUUCAUAACAUAGAGUUAUCCUAAUCUAAGUGUUUUGCAGCGGAAAACGUGUGAGAUAUACAUAUGAAGAUGUAUACUCAAGGUUACAUUUCUUGAAAUGACAAAGGAACACCCGCUCAACACCAUUCCAUUCCAUCAACUGCUCAACCUGCACAUUUAGAAAUACAUGCAAGGCUGAGUAUAAAAAAUACUCAGUGGGCAUAUGCCGAAAAUACAUUCAUGCAUAACAUAUAUAUAAAUUGAACUGCCAACAGUAACACACAGGGGUUUUCUUGAAUGACCUGCGCUUACUAAAAUAUUUCUUUCAUUUUCAUAAGAUUGGCCGGCCGACCCAUUUUCCUUCAUAUGAUCCAUAUCUGUUCCCUUCUGUCACGCGCCGGGAAGGAGGCCUCCUUACCACGGACGCCAAGACCGGUCGCAAGCGACUCGCGGUCUCCAUGAGUGUACACGUUAACCCUAGCUAGCGACCUUUGUCUAGCAUAGGAUCCCAAUUGGAUUUCCUUUAAAGUUGGCGAACCAACACAGAUAGGAUACAUAUAAAAACAUAAACAUUUUUGGCAGUCAAUCAUUUCAUAAACAUUUCAUUUUCGUAAACAUUCCAUUUUCAUAGUAGGCAUUUAUCAUUUGAACAUUUCAUAAAACUGAAAUAAACAGUUAAAUCAUAUCAUGCAUAUAUUCGUAUACGAGGCCUACGUCACGCAGGGGAUCUCUAUAUACGUAUAGUAAAAGUAAUGCCCACCUCAAACGUUCUUAAGCUAGCGUGGAGUCGCUUCUUCUUCAGCUUCACUUCCUGUCGCCCGGACCUUUAUUGAUGAAGAGUCGGUAAGUUCGUGAAGAAAAUCACGACAUAAGAUAAGUUAUUUCUACGUGUCUAGGGUACGUCUUUUAGUAUUUUAAGGUUCUAGCAUCCAUAAAACUCGUUUUGAUUAGCCAGACAAAACUAACCAUAGCUCAUGUCUAAUCACAUCAAUAAUCAAUACACAUACCAAAAAUUCCACUACUUAAUACCACUUAAAACACAUGCAUAGAAAUUUAAUAACUUAACUUAAAACAUAUACUAAUUCAUUUAAUAAAAUAAUUUCCUCAUUUUGUAGCCAUGUAAAUAAUUACUUAGCUCAUAUGAGCUAAAAUCACAUAUUAUAUUCUAUAACAAUGAGAUAUUAAACAAAACAUUUUAAUCGCUUACAUAAAAUAAAUUCAUAUUCAAAAGCCCUUGAAAAUAAUUAUAUAAAUCAAUAAAUAAGAGUUUAAUCCCAAAAUUAUUCAUUUAAAAGUCCAUCAAUAAUUUAAAUUAAUAGAAUUAGUUCCAUUUAAAUAAAUAAUUUCAAGAUCCACUUUAAUAUAAAGUCAAUUACAAUAUAUAUAGCCCAAGACUCAAAUAAGCAUUAAAAUGGGCUAAAAAUUUCGCAGCCCAAAUGAUAAAUUUAAGACCCAUCAGAUUUUUACAUAAAAGAAGGCCCAAUUUUAAUAAAAUCAAAUGGGCUCAGCCCAAGCUUAACCCUAACUCAACACAUAUCACACACAAUAACACACAAAACACAAACACUCACAGACCCUCUCGCCCCUCUUUCUCACUCGGUCUGCUCUCUCUCUCUCGCCGGUUGAUAGCGGUGCCGCCGCCGGCGAGCGCCGCCCUGCCGGCCCCCCUCUCUCCCCCCUAUUCUCAUUCUCUUCCUUCCUUCCCUCUAGCCCUCUCUCCCCCUGCGUUUCUCUCUCACUUUCAGCCUCCUUUCUCUACUACUCUCACCCUGUCUCGCCGGAAGCCAAGCCGCACGCCGCCGCCUUGGGUGCUCACGGCUAUCGCCUGGCCAUGGAAGAGCACGGCCGCCGCCUGCCCGCCCUGAUUCUCUCUCUCGGUUUCUAGAUCUGUAGAUCGGAACAGGGCAUGCGCCCUCUCUGCCGGAAAGAGGUAAGUCCACAUCUCUCUUUCUCUUUUGAAACCCUUGCUGAAAUCCUAAUCUCCCUCUCUCCUUCUCUCUCUCGUUUGGCAGAAAAAGGAAAGGCGACGCCGUCGCCGGCGCCAAGCAGCCGCUGGGGCUGUUCUCACUUCCCUCUCUCGACCCAACACACACUAAGCACAGGGAACAAAAACCCCAAAUUCCCAACUCCAGAUUCACAUAUUAGCAAAAUUAGGAUUUUCAAAUUCUUUUCUUCUUUUCUUAACACCAUCAAUUCUUUGGAACCUUGUAACUGUAAUAGUUAGGAAAAUAUAGUGAUUAUGCGUAUGUGUGUAUUUGUUGCUGCUUUGAUGCUUGAUUUAGAAUUAACUAGAAAAAAUAAAGAGAAAUUUGGAGUAACCUUGAUGUAGCUGGUGUUGUAGGCAAUAGUUGGUGUCUGUAAUCUUCACAGCAGCUUGAGCUAGCUUGGGUCGAAAAUGGUAAAAAAAAUAGUAAUAGUGCUUGAGGUUGAAACCAUAAGAAAAUGAUAGUAGGGGUCUUUAAUCAAAGA